Mus caroli (Ryukyu mouse) is the source of this 380-nucleotide long non-coding RNA. RefSeq lists it as uncharacterized. The record is from RefSeq and is a predicted model, not a curated record. Lineage: Eukaryota; Metazoa; Chordata; Mammalia; Rodentia; Muridae.
CCUUCUCAAGCUCGGGGAUUUUACCAUCUUCUCAUGAUACCCUCUCCCAGUGCCUCAGUUUCUUCAUUGACCAUACUGACAAUGGGAAAGCUUGCCUUUGCUUGUGCCCAUGGCUGCAUUCAACUCUAACCUUGAAGAAAUGGAUAGGAGCUGAAGGAGAACCCCUGUCGUCUCCCAGCACAAGGAUGGACACGUGACCCAAUGGAGUGGCCACAGGGGACAAGAAGGACUAUGCAAACAGCUAGUGCUGAUUCAUCCUGAGGUCUGCAGACAGAAAAGACAACUGGUCAGGCUCUUCUCUGGACACUCCCGGCUGUUAGGCCAUGAUCCCACAGAUCUGCUCAGGAAGGUCCAUGACUGGUGGGAUGGUUUGUAUAUUC